RNAcentral lists this ribosomal RNA (586 nucleotides) under uncultured bacterium. RNAcentral's name for it is "partial 16S ribosomal RNA". It matches the Rfam family "Bacterial small subunit ribosomal RNA", at positions 355 to 1375 of the family's 1533-position model. The record is from RNAcentral.
UGGGGAAUUUUGGACAAUGGGCGAAAGCCUGAUCCAGCAAUGCCGCGUGUGUGAAGAAGGCCUUCGGGUUGUAAAGCACUUUUGUCCGGAAAGAAAUCCUUGGCUCUAAUACAGCCGGGGGAUGACGGUACCGGAAGAAUAAGCACCGGCUAACUACGUGCCAGCAGCCGCGGUAAUACGUAGGGUGCAAGCGUUAAUCGGAAUUACUGGGCGUAAAGCGUGCGCAGGCGGUUUGCUAAGACCGAUGUGAAAUCCCCGGGCUCAACCUGGGAACUGCAUUGGUGACUGGCAGGCUAGAGUAUGGCAGAGGGGGGUAGAAUUCCACGUGUAGCAGUGAAAUGCGUAGAGAUGUGGAGGAAUACCGAUGGCGAAGGCAGCCCCCUGGGCCAAUACUGACGCUCAUGCACGAAAGCGUGGGGAGCAAACAGGAUUAGAUACCCUGGUAGUCCACGCCCUAAACGAUGUCAACUAGUUGUUGGGGAUUCAUUUCCUUAGUAACGUAGCUAACGCGUGAAGUUGACCGCCUGGGGGAGUACGGUCGCAAGAUUAAAACUUAAAGGAAUUGACGGGGUCAUAGCUGUUUCCU